Molecule: transfer RNA, 71 nt
Filed under: Camelus bactrianus (Bactrian camel)
Lineage: Eukaryota; Metazoa; Chordata; Mammalia; Artiodactyla; Camelidae
Also listed under: 2 other names
Rfam family: tRNA
About the family: Transfer RNA (tRNA) molecules are approximately 80 nucleotides in length. Their secondary structure includes four short double-helical elements and three loops (D, anti-codon, and T loops). Further hydrogen bonds mediate the characteristic L-shaped molecular structure. tRNAs have two regions of fundamental functional importance: the anti-codon, which is responsible for specific mRNA codon recognition, and the 3' end, to which the tRNAs corresponding amino acid is attached (by aminoacyl-tRNA synthetases). tRNAs cope with the degeneracy of the genetic code in two manners: having more than one tRNA (with a specific anti-codon) for a particular amino acid; and 'wobble' base-pairing, i.e. permitting non-standard base-pairing at the 3rd anti-codon position.
Source: Rfam by way of RNAcentral
GGCUGUAGCUCAAGUGGCAGAGCACACGCUUAGCAUGCAUGAGGUGCUGGGUUCAAUCCCCAGAACCGCCA